Molecule: ribosomal RNA, 468 nt
Filed under: uncultured bacterium
Lineage: Bacteria
Description: partial 16S ribosomal RNA
Rfam family: Bacterial small subunit ribosomal RNA
Source: RNAcentral
GACGAACGCUGGCGGCGUGCUUAACACAUGCAAGUCGAACGGAAAGGCCCUGCUUUUGUGGGGUGCUCGAGUGGCGAACGGGUGCGUAACACGUGAGUAACCUGCCCUUGACUUUAGGAUAACUUCAGGAAACUGGGGCUAAUACCGGAUAGGAGCUCCUGCUGCAUGGUGGGGGUUGGAAAGUUUCGGCGGUUGGGGAUGGACUCGCGGCUUAUCAGCUUGUUGGUGGGGUAGUGGCUUACCAAGGCUUUGACGGGUAGUCGGCCUGAGAGGGUGACCGGCCACAUGGGGACUGAGAGACGGCCCAGACUCCUACGGGAGGCAGCAGUGGGGAAUAUUGCACAAUGGGCGGAAGCCUGAUGCAGCAACGCCGCGUGCGGGAUGACGGCCUUCGGGUAGUAAACCGCUUUCGCCUGUGACGAAGCGUGAGUGACGGUAAUGGGUAAAGAAGCACCGGCUAACUACGUG